Oryctolagus cuniculus (rabbit) is the source of this 146-nucleotide small nucleolar RNA. The record is from Ensembl. NCBI's taxonomy places the organism in Eukaryota, Metazoa, Chordata, Mammalia, Lagomorpha, Leporidae.
CUUCGGUGAUGACACGAUGACGAGUCAGAAAGGUCACGUCCUGCCCUCGGGCUGUGCCAGUACCACGUUCUGUGGUGCUGUGCGUGGGUUCCUUGGGCAGAAGUGUCCUGUUCAUUGAUUGAUUUAGAGGCAUUUGUCUGAGAAGG